This 254-nucleotide ribosomal RNA is filed under the name uncultured bacterium. RNAcentral describes it as "partial 16S ribosomal RNA". It matches the Rfam family "Bacterial small subunit ribosomal RNA", at positions 524 to 776 of the family's 1533-position model. The record is from RNAcentral.
GACGAGGGGUCCAAGCGUUUGUUCGGAAUUAUUGGGCGUAAAGCGGGUGUAGGCGGCUCUGUAAGUCAGGAGUGAAAGCCCCGAGCUUAACUCGGGAAGUGCUUUUGACACUGCAGAGCUUGAAUGUGGGAGAGGGUAGUGGAAUUCCUGGUGUAGCGGUGAAAUGCGUAGAUAUCAGGAGGAACACCUGUGGCGAAAGCGGCUCACUGGACCAUAACUGACGCUGAUGCACGAAAGCUAGGGGAGCAAACAGG